AGCUCUUACGUCCAAAACCCACAGCAUAAGCGGAAAUUCAUAUAGAACAUACACCCAAAUGACCGUCGAAUCAAUUCAAAACACACACAAAUCCUAAAUCCAUGAAAGUCGUAACCGAUUAAAGAGUUCCUUGAAGUAUGCGUGUGGCCAGGUCAGAUAUCCAAAUCUAACACAUAACCUGAAUCCAUGAAAGUCGAAACUAGGAGUGGCAAAAUGGGUCAGAUAUUUGAUUUUACCUUCAGUCCUUGAACUUGAAAACACUCUAACUGAACACUGUACAACUUCAAUUAUUGAAU
RNAcentral lists this long non-coding RNA (296 nucleotides) under Helianthus annuus (common sunflower). RNAcentral describes it as "sRNA HanXRQr2_Chr10g0438471". The record is from RNAcentral. Lineage: Eukaryota; Viridiplantae; Streptophyta; Magnoliopsida; Asterales; Asteraceae.